This 2582-nucleotide long non-coding RNA is filed under the name Sus scrofa (pig). RNAcentral's name for it is "lncRNA (ENSSSCG00065059952.1)". Lineage: Eukaryota; Metazoa; Chordata; Mammalia; Artiodactyla; Suidae. The record is from RNAcentral.
CUAGCAACAAGAUGAAGCCUGACAACCAUUAUGAACUACACAGGAAUAAUUAAAUAAUUAUGCAUGAGGAGUUCCCAUCUUGGCUCAGCAGAAACAAAUCUGACUAGCAUGCAUGAGGAGGCAGGUUCGAUCCCUAGCCCCCCUCAGUGGGUUAAGGAUCAAGUGUUUCAGUGAGCUGUGGUGUAGGCCAGUGGCUACAGCUCUGUUUUGACCCCUAGCCUGGGAACCUCCAUAUGCUAUGGGUGAGGCCCUAAAAAGAUGAAAAAAUAAUAAUAACAAAAUAAAAAAUAUGCAUAAAUAUUCAACUGAACCUCAAGAAACUUGAGAAAUAAUGGUGCUUCAGAUUUCAACCUUAAAAUUGUUUAGAAAAUCAGAGAGGAACCCUGGAAUUAACAACCAAAACAGAACAAGAAAAGACAGCAUUACUAUUAGAAGAAAUUAAAAGAAAGAUUUCCCCGGGAGACACAUUGUAUCAUGCCACAUAUUUACCAUGUCAUAUAUAUCAUGUCACAUCACUCAUAACACCCGAGGUCCUAAAUAUAGACGUAUCUACAGAAAUUGCUCGAGAUUUCAGCUUAAUUUCUAUUAUUGUUCUUGCUUCAAUCGGCAUGCUACCUUAACAGACCCUCAAGUCUUUCUUUGAAACUUCUCUGAGAAAAUAGCAAAGAAAUUCCUUGUUCUUCCAUGACACUACGUAAGAUCAAUCAAAAGAUCUGUUGGAUAGAUCAAGGUUCAAGGAAAGCUAGGCUUAAAAGUUCUACUUCAAACUCUGAGAAGGUAGUGGGGGGAAAAAAUCAACACUAUUCACAAAAAAAUAUCUCCAUCAAUAGUUCUUAAAUGAUUAAACUUUACCAUCUGGAAUCAAUUGCCCUGUGAUGGAGAAACAGAUGUUCUAUCAAAGUUGCUUUGUGACCAAACAAGCCAAGAAGAAGGGUCAAUCCAGCUCCUGAAACACACAGAGCCCUGUACAGAGCCAAGGAAAGGGAAAAAAUGGUAAAGUAGAUUGUCUUUGGUCAGCGGAGACAUGAACAAGGCUAGGAGUUCUACUUUGGUCCACUCAUAAGCCAUCAGUCCUGUAGCUGAGCAAAGACCACCACCGCACUUUUUCCUUGGGUUUCUGAUAUAAGAGAAAGAUAAGUUUGUUAUUAAUAUGUGUGAUCCUACCAGAAUAUGUAUUCCUUGAGGGCAGUGGCCUUCAUUGAUUUUGUGCCUUGCAUGAAGUAGAUCCUCAGCUAUUUAUCACAUGGAUGGAUGGAUGGACGGGUGGAUGGAUGGAUGAAGCUGCUUCCCAUUGAACAGCACCCCUCAUUUGGAUGCCUCUCCCAUCCCCUUUUAGGUUGACACCAGCCACAUCCAAAUCCCCUCAGAUUCCAGCAUCUGGGUUUGAACAGAUGCUGUGAAAGCCUACCUCCUGCAGGCUAGGGAUGGAAAUCACAACUGUGUGGUUUGCUCUGUAGGGAUGUGAAAUUUAUUUCUAAUCUAAGUUAAAGUUGAAUUUACCCCUAAAAUGUGAGUUAUCAGAACCUUCAUAAGUUUUACUCUACCUUCUUUUUUAAAAAAAAAUGUCUAAUCUUUAUGGGCAAAUAAUCUUAGACUUUUUUUUAAGUUUUCACACAGUACUUUUAUUGCUUUUUAAUUAAAGUAUAGUCAAUUUACAAUGUUGUGCCAAUUUCUGCCAUAUCACAAAGUGACCUAGUCAUAUAUAUAUAUUUUUUUCCCUUUCUUAUAUUAUCUUCCAUCACAUUCUAUCCCAAGAGACUGGAUGUGUUUCCCGGUGCUAUAGAGUAGGACCUCAUUGCUUAUCCAUUCUAAAUGGAAUAGUUUGCAUCUACUAAUCCCAAACUCUCCAUCCAUCCCGGUCCCUCCCAAGUAUGGAGAUUGCCUAUAUUUUCCAUUCUCCUCCUUUUUUUUAAUAUAAAGUAUAUAAAGAUAGGAGUUCCUGUCAUGGCUCAGCGGAAACAAAUCUGACUAGCAUCCUUGAAGACGCAUGUUCGAUCCCUGGCCUCACUCAGUGGGUUAAGGAUCCGGCAUUGCUGUGAGCUGUGGUAUAGGCCGGCAGCUGCAGCUCUGAUUUGACCCCUUGCCUGGGAUCCUCCAUAUGCUGUGGGUGUGGCCCUAAAAAGACCAAAAAAAAAAGGUAUGUAAAGAUAAGCAAAAAAUCAAUUUCGCAUCUAUUUAAAUGGAUAUUUUAUUUUUCUUUUUUAUAUUUGGUAAUAUGGAGAAUUAUAUUCAUUGGCUCUCAAGAAGUAAAGCAAUCUUGCAUUUCUGGGAUAACUUCUACUUCAUUAUUACGUAAUGUUUUUACAUGUUGUUGGAUUUCAUAUGCUGAUACUUUAUGAAGGACUGGGUAUUCAUGAGGGAUAUUGGUUUGCAGUUUUCUUUGCUUUUUGAUAAUAUCUUUGACUAGUUUUAGCAUCAAGGUUAUGUUGACCUCAUAAAGCAGGUUGGGAUGAAUUCCCAAUUCCUGAAACCAUCUGGACUUGGAGUUUUCUUAAAGCCAAAGACCAGUUUUGAGAACACAUUUUAUUCUUACCCAACCCACCUGACAGAAUGUACAAUAAACACUUUCCCUUCAUAUCUCA